Molecule: ribosomal RNA, 446 nt
Filed under: uncultured bacterium
Lineage: Bacteria
Description: partial 16S ribosomal RNA
Rfam family: Bacterial small subunit ribosomal RNA
Source: RNAcentral
CCUACGGGUGGCAGCAGUCGAGAAUCAUUCACAAUGGGGGAAACCCUGAUGGUGCGACGCCGCGUGGGGGAAUGAAGGUCUUCGGAUUGUAAACCCCUGUCAUGUGGGAGCAAAUUAAAAAGAUAGUACCCCAAGAGGAAGAGACGGCUAACUCUGUGCCAGCAGCCGCGGUAAUACAGAGGUCUCAAGCGUUGUUCGGAAUCACUGGGCGUAAAGCGUGCGUAGGCUGUUUCGUAAGUCGUGUGUGAACUGCGCGGGCUCAACCCGCGGACGGCACAUGAUACUGCGAGACUAGAGUAAUGGAGGGGGAACCGGAAUUCUCGGUGUAGCAGUGAAAUGCGUAGAUAUCGAGAGGAACACUCGUGGCGAAGGCGGGUUCCUGGACAUUAACUGACGCUGAGGCACGAAGGCCAGGGGAGCGAAAGGGAUUAGAUACCCCAGUAGUC